GCCGCAUCCUCAAAGGCAAUCCCUUCAUACCCAUAUCCCUUUUUACCAGUUUCUUCAAAUGUUUUGUCAACUUCAAGAAUCGGUGAAUUGCAGCAGAAAGAUGUUGUUUUAUCCUUCAAAGAGUGGUUCAUGACCAGAAAAAAUCCACUCUUUGAUCAGAUCUUUGAGAUAUUACGAACUAAAGAUGAUAUUACAGCUGAUAUAUCAAUGUCG
RNAcentral lists this unclassified non-coding RNA (213 nucleotides) under Hevea brasiliensis (rubber tree). The record is from RNAcentral. Lineage: Eukaryota; Viridiplantae; Streptophyta; Magnoliopsida; Malpighiales; Euphorbiaceae.